CAUAGGUUAAUGAGGCGAACCGGGGGAACUGAAACAUCUAAGUACCCCGAGGAAAAGAAAUCAACCGAGAUUCCCCCAGUAGCGGCGAGCGAACGGGGAGCAGCCCAGAGCCUGAAUCAGUGUGUGUGUUAGUGGAAGCGUCUGGAAAGGCGCGCGAUACAGGGUGACAGCCCCGUACACAAAAAUGCACAUGCUGUGAGCUCGAUGAGUAGGGCGGGACACGUGGUAUCCUGUCUGAAUAUGGGGGGACCAUCCUCCAAGGCUAAAUACUCCUGACUGACCGAUAGUGAACCAGUACCGUGAGGGAAAGGCGAAAAGAACCCCGGCGAGGGGAGUGAAAAAGAACCUGAAACCGUGUACGUACAAGCAGUGGGAGCACGCUUAGGCGUGUGACUGCGUACCUUUUGUAUAAUGGGUCAGCGACUUAUAUUCUGUAGCAAGGUUAACCGAAUAGGGGAGCCGAAGGGAAACCGAGUCUUAACUGGGCGUUAAGUUGCAGGGUAUAGACCCGAAACCCGGUGAUCUAGCCAUGGGCAGGUUGAAGGUUGGGUAACACUAACUGGAGGACCGAACCGACUAAUGUUGAAAAAUUAGCGGAUGACUUGUGGCUGGGGGUGAAAGGCCAAUCAAACCGGGAGAUAGCUGGUUCUCCCCGAAAGCUAUUUAGGUAGCGCCUCGUGAAUUCAUCUCCGGGGGUAGAGCACUGUUUCGGCAAGGGGGUCAUCCCGACUUACCAACCCGAUGCAAACUGCGAAUACCGGAGAAUGUUAUCACGGGAGACACACGGCGGGUGCUAACGUCCGUCGUGAAGAGGGAAACAACCCAGACCGCCAGCUAAGGUCCCAAAGUCAUGGUUAAGUGGGAAACGAUGUGGGAAGGCCCAGACAGCCAGGAUGUUGGCUUAGAAGCAGCCAUCAUUUAAAGAAAGCGUAAUAGCUCACUGGUCGAGUCGGCCUGCGCGGAAGAUGUAACGGGGCUAAACCAUGCACCGAAGCUGCGGCAGCGACGCUGAUGCGUUGUUGGGUAGGGGAGCGUUCUGUAAGCCUGCGAAGGUGUGCUGUGAGGCAUGCUGGAGGUAUCAGAAGUGCGAAUGCUGACAUAAGUAACGAUAAAGCGGGUGAAAAGCCCGCUCGCCGGAAGACCAAGGGUUCCUGUCCAACGUUAAUCGGGGCAGGGUGAGUCGACCCCUAAGGCGAGGCCGAAAGGCGUAGUCGAUGGGAAACAGGUUAAUAUUCCUGUACUUGGUGUUACUGCGAAGGGGGGACGGAGAAGGCUAUGUUGGCCGGGCGACGGUUGUCCCGGUUUAAGCGUGUAGGCUGGUUUUCCAGGCAAAUCCGGAAAAUCAAGGCUGAGGCGUGAUGACGAGGCACUACGGUGCUGAAGCAACAAAUGCCCUGCUUCCAGGAAAAGCCUCUAAGCAUCAGGUAACAUCAAAUCGUACCCCAAACCGACACAGGUGGUCAGGUAGAGAAUACCAAGGCGCUUGAGAGAACUCGGGUGAAGGAACUAGGCAAAAUGGUGCCGUAACUUCGGGAGAA
RNAcentral lists this ribosomal RNA (1538 nucleotides) under Escherichia coli. RNAcentral's name for it is "partial 23S ribosomal RNA". It matches the Rfam family "Bacterial large subunit ribosomal RNA", at positions 165 to 1744 of the family's 2925-position model. The record is from RNAcentral. Lineage: Bacteria; Pseudomonadati; Pseudomonadota; Gammaproteobacteria; Enterobacterales; Enterobacteriaceae.